CCGGCUUUUUCCCCUUACGCUGGCGGCGAGAGGGCGCCGAAAGCUCAAAUUUGAAAUCGGGUACUUUCAGGAUCCGAGUUGUAAUUUGGGGAAGCAACUUUGGUGAUGCCCUUUGCUUAAGUUCCUUGGAAUAGGACGUCAUAGAGGGGGAGAAUCCCGUUUAUGGUGAAGAACCCACACUAUGUAAAGUGCUUUCGAAGAGUCGAGUUGUUUGGGAAUGCAGUUCAAAGUGGGUGUUAAAUUCCAUCUAAAGCUAAAUAUUGGCGAGAGACCGAGCGCGAACAAGUACUGUGAAGGAAAGAUGAAAAGAACUUUGAAAAGAGAGUGAAAAAGUGCGUGAAAUUGUUGAAAGGGAGGGGAUCUAAAUCAGACAUGGUAUUUUGUGAUCAACAGUCUUUCGGGACUGUGCCCUCGCAUUUUACUAGGCCAGCGUCGGUUAGAAGGGGGUAAAAAAGAUUUUGGAUUGUGGCUCCUCGGAGUGUUAUAGCCAAGGUUAAUUGCCCCAUUUCUGACCGAGGACCGCGUCUUUUGACUAGGAUGCUGGCUUAAUGGUUUUGUUCCACCCGUCUUGAAACAGGGACAA
This 583-nucleotide ribosomal RNA is filed under the name Zygoascus meyerae. RNAcentral's name for it is "eukaryotic LSU rRNA". It matches the Rfam family "Eukaryotic large subunit ribosomal RNA", at positions 1 to 668 of the family's 3401-position model. The record is from RNAcentral. Lineage: Eukaryota; Fungi; Ascomycota; Dipodascomycetes; Dipodascales; Trichomonascaceae.